GUGGACCGAGCCUCCCGGCUCGCUGCUCCCGCCGGCGGAGCGAGGCUGCCCUUUUUUCGCAGCGUGAUUUAUUUUCUUCUCCUUUUUUUUUGAACUCUUCUUCCAGGGAGAGGCUAGUGGUAACAGGCCGAGCUGGAUGGAUGGGUAUGGGGAGAGGGGCAGGACGUUCAGCCCUGGGAUUCUGGCCGACCCUCGCCUUCCUUCUCUGCAGCUUCCCCGCAGACAGCUAUUAAAAGAACCCCAGGAAGUUUCUGCGCAGCGUUGGAGAUGGGGAGACUGUGGAAUUUGAUGUCCUGGAAGGAGAGAAGGGCGCAGAAGCCGCUAAUGUAACUGGGCCCGGGGAGGUGCCCGUGGAGGGCAGCCGUUAUGCCCCCAACCGACGUAGGUUUCACUGAUUCAUCCCCCAGCCUCCCUCAGUUGCCCCACCAUCCAUGGUGGCAGAGAUCCCUUCAGGGGGGACAGAACCUGGCAGAGAA
Molecule: small RNA, 476 nt
Filed under: Pongo abelii (Sumatran orangutan)
Lineage: Eukaryota; Metazoa; Chordata; Mammalia; Primates; Hominidae
Description: retained intron
Source: RNAcentral